GCGUCGAUGAAGAGCGCAGCCAGCUGCGUGAAUUAAUGUGAAUUGCAGGACACACUGAACAUCGACACCUUGAACGCACAUUGCGGCUCUGGCUCACUGCCAGAGCCACGCCUGUCCGAGGGUCGGCGAACAAGUCAUCGCACCCCGAGCGCUUUCGAGCGAUAUCGGGGAGCGCGUUGGCGUGUCGCGCGGGCACCGUCCCGCUCGUCCGCCGCAGACUUCAGCCUCUCCCUUGGCUGCCCGUCGAAGUGGCGCGGGGACAGGGCUCGAACGGGCCUUCUGUCUGGCGCACGUCCGCUGCUCUCACCGGCAGUGGACGACCUUCUAGGGCGGCUCGCGGCCUUCGGGUCGUGUUCGGGUGGAGCGCGGUCACCAUGUGAACGCGAACUGUGAGAGACGCCGUGAGGUGUCGCUCGCUCAUCCGACCUCGGAUCAGACGGGAAUACCCGCUGAAUUUAAGCAUAUCAGUAAGCGGAGGAAAAGAAACU
This 488-nucleotide unclassified non-coding RNA is filed under the name Timoclea ovata. RNAcentral's name for it is "sequence contains 5.8S rRNA gene, ITS2 and 28S rRNA gene". The stretch from base 1 to 125 matches the Rfam family "5.8S ribosomal RNA", at positions 30 to 154 of the family's 154-position model. Lineage: Eukaryota; Metazoa; Mollusca; Bivalvia; Venerida; Veneridae. The record is from RNAcentral.